This 902-nucleotide ribosomal RNA is filed under the name uncultured bacterium. RNAcentral describes it as "bacterial SSU rRNA". It matches the Rfam family "Bacterial small subunit ribosomal RNA", at positions 33 to 926 of the family's 1533-position model. The record is from RNAcentral.
ACGCUAGCUACAGGCUUAACACAUGCAAGUCGAGGGGAAACGGCAUUGAGUGCUUGCACUCUUUGGACGUCGACCGGCGCACGGGUGAGUAACGCGUAUCCAACCUUCCCAUUACUGUGGGAUAACCUGCCGAAAGGCAGACUAAUAUCGCAUAGUCUUCGAUGACGGCAUCAGAUUUGAAGUAAAGAUUUAUCGGUAAUGGAUGGGGAUGCGUCUGAUUAGCUUGUUGGCGGGGUAACGGCCCACCAAGGCGACGAUCAGUAGGGGUUCUGAGAGGAAGGUCCCCCACAUUGGAACUGAGACACGGUCCAAACUCCUACGGGAGGCAGCAGUGAGGAAUAUUGGUCAAUGGACGGAAGUCUGAACCAGCCAAGUAGCGUGCAGGAUGACGGCCCUAUGGGUUGUAAACUGCUUUUGUAUGGGGAUAAAGUUAGGGACGUGUCCCUAUUUGCAGGUACCAUACGAAUAAGGACCGGCUAAUUCCGUGCCAGCAGCCGCGGUAAUACGGAAGGUCCAGGCGUUAUCCGGAUUUAUUGGGUUUAAAGGGAGCGUAGGCUGGAGAUUAAGUGUGUUGUGAAAUGUAGACGCUCAACGUCUGACUUGCAGCGCAUACUGGUUUCCUUGAGUACGCACAACGUUGGCGGAAUUCGUCGUGUAGCGGUGAAAUGCUUAGAUAUGACGAAGAACUCCGAUUGCGAAGGCAGCUGACGGGAGCGCAACUGACGCUUAAGCUCGAAGGUGCGGGUAUCAAACAGGAUUAGAUACCCUGGUAGUCCGCACAGUAAACGAUGGAUGCCCGCUGUUGGUACCUGGUAUCAGCGGCUAAGCGAAAGCAUUAAGCAUCCCACCUGGGGAGUACGCCGGCAACGGUGAAACUCAAAGGAAUUGACGGGGGCCCGCAC